RNAcentral lists this transfer RNA (87 nucleotides) under Terriglobia bacterium. RNAcentral's name for it is "tRNA-Leu". It matches the Rfam family "tRNA". Rfam says of the family: Transfer RNA (tRNA) molecules are approximately 80 nucleotides in length. Their secondary structure includes four short double-helical elements and three loops (D, anti-codon, and T loops). Further hydrogen bonds mediate the characteristic L-shaped molecular structure. tRNAs have two regions of fundamental functional importance: the anti-codon, which is responsible for specific mRNA codon recognition, and the 3' end, to which the tRNAs corresponding amino acid is attached (by aminoacyl-tRNA synthetases). tRNAs cope with the degeneracy of the genetic code in two manners: having more than one tRNA (with a specific anti-codon) for a particular amino acid; and 'wobble' base-pairing, i.e. permitting non-standard base-pairing at the 3rd anti-codon position. Lineage: Bacteria; Pseudomonadati; Acidobacteriota; Terriglobia. RNAcentral also lists the same sequence under 6 other names. The record is from RNAcentral.
GCGGGGCUGGCGGAACUGGCAGACGCGCUGGCCUUAGGAGCCAGUGGCCGCAAGGCCGUGCAGGUUCAAGUCCUGUGCCCCGCACCA